UACAGAGGUGGCAAGCGUUGUUCGGAAUUACUGGGCGUAAAGGGCGCGUAGGCGGUUCGUUAAGUCCUGUGUGAAAUCCCCCGGCUCAACUGGGGCACUGCACAGGAAACUAGCGGGCUUGAGUUCGGGAGAGGGAAGCGGAAUUCCGGGUGUAGCGGUGAAAUGCGUAGAUAUCCGGAGGAACACCGGUGGCGAAGGCGGCUUCCUGGACCGACACUGACGCUGAGGCGCGAAAGCUAGGGGAGCAAACGGG
This 253-nucleotide ribosomal RNA is filed under the name uncultured bacterium. RNAcentral describes it as "partial 16S ribosomal RNA". It matches the Rfam family "Bacterial small subunit ribosomal RNA", at positions 524 to 776 of the family's 1533-position model. The record is from RNAcentral.